GAGUUUGAUUAUGGCUCAGGAUGAACGCUAGCUACAGGCUUAACACAUGCAAGUCGAGGGGCAGCAUGAAUAUUGGCUUGCCAAUAUUUGAUGGCGACCGGCGCACGGGUGAGUAACACGUAUCCAACCUUCCGGUUACUCGGGGAUAGGCUUUCGAAAGAAAGAUUAAUACCCGAUGUUGUGUAUCUUUCUCCUGAUUGAUACGCCAAAGGAUUCCGGUAACCGAUGGGGAUGCGUUCCAUUAGGCAGUUGGCGGGGUAACGGCCCACCAAACCUUCGAUGGAUAGGGGUUCUGAGAGGAAGGUCCCCCACAUUGGAACUGAGACACGGUCCAAACUCCUACGGGAGGCAGCAGUGAGGAAUAUUGGUCAAUGGACGGAAGUCUGAACCAGCCAAGUAGCGUGAAGGAUGACUGCCCUCUGGGUUGUAAACUUCUUUUAUACGGGAAUAACAUGAGGUACGGGUACCUUA
RNAcentral lists this ribosomal RNA (471 nucleotides) under Bacteroides pyogenes. RNAcentral's name for it is "bacterial SSU rRNA". It matches the Rfam family "Bacterial small subunit ribosomal RNA", at positions 9 to 468 of the family's 1533-position model. Lineage: Bacteria; Pseudomonadati; Bacteroidota; Bacteroidia; Bacteroidales; Bacteroidaceae. The record is from RNAcentral.